This is a non-coding RNA of Chlorocebus sabaeus (green monkey), 2029 nucleotides long. Lineage: Eukaryota; Metazoa; Chordata; Mammalia; Primates; Cercopithecidae. The record is from RefSeq and is a predicted model, not a curated record.
GCAAUUCAAUAAACUAUCAUUAUCUGAUACUAGUUACUGUUCCUUACUAUUCUUGACUUUCUAGAAUGACUGAAAGUGUCUAGAUAGUAUUCCUCAACAAACAUGGAUUUUUUUCAUAGAUUCUCCUAGGUAAUUUAUAAAUUAAUAUUUAUUGUAGUUUUAAUUAUUUUAAUAAUAUGUGCAUAUAUUGAGAUAUUUUUGAAAUGCACAGAAAAAAAAAGUCACUUGUAAUUACACCAUUUGGUGAUAAUCAGUCUGAAUAUUUUGACCUAUAUCCUCACAUAUUUUCCCCUAACAUAAACUGUGAAUAUAACACAUACACACACAAAUGGAAUUAUCCAUGCUGGUUUGUAACUUCUUUUAUCACUUCACAAUAUAUUAAGAACCUUCUCUCAUUCCAUUAUGUAGUCUAAACCAUGGUUUCUUUCAAGAUUGCUCAUGGAUAUACCAUUAAUUAACCAAUACCCUAGUGUUCAACGUUUAGAUGUUUCUAAACUAAUUCUGAGAACUGAAAAUUCAGGUAACUGCUUUGAGCUGCAAUGACCAGCAUGCCCGAAGUAGAAAGUAAGGGCCUUUGGGACACAGCAGCUCUAGAACUUAAAGGGGGCUCAUUAAAGAUGCUGCAACGCCCUGCCGGAAAUGCUACAAUUAAUAGACUCUGUCUUGCAACUUUCACUCCAGAAAUGUUUCUUCCUACUUCUCUGCUAGUGACGGGAGUCUAAAAUAAAAUUUUCUUUCUCUAGCUACUUCCUAGAAGGCUUCACACAUUGUGUCCUGGAACUGGGGAGAAGAGCUGCUGAGCUCUUGCUCCCUCUUUGAUAUCAAGAGCAUUCAGUCAAGUGAAAGAGAAGGGUCUCUAAGCCAUUGAGAUGUGGGAGAGCUUAGUAUAAUAAUAAUUUCCUACCAACUUCAAUUUCCAGGACUUCUAAGUAUCACAUAAUGGCAAGUGGAAUUUCCAAGAAAGGGAAGGAAGUACUUACUUUUUAAAUUAGUUAUGUGACUCUUAACUACCUAUGGUUAACUAGAAUUCUACAAGACAUCAUCCUGUCUUCAUUUUCUGUGUUCAUGCAGUAUACCUGCCAUCUUCAAGUCUUUGAUUAACGAAGCUUAUGUGCAACAGCAUUAGGAGUCAAGCCAUAAUAGCUUUAUGUACCUACUGUGUUUUGAUGAACAAUACAGUAUAAAAGCGGAGGAGAAUUAGGACAAUGAUGUUCAUAAACAGCACAUCACUGUGCUAAGAGGCUGGUAACAGUGUAUGUUUUCAUAUGGCCUAGUAUUGAUUCUCUUGGCCAGUGUCCUACUUUUAACAAUGCUACAGUCACACUUUAAGAUUUCAGAUGGAGAGAUAGAGAAGAUAAUCAAUAGAUACUAUUUUUCCACUACCAACUGGCCUACAUAUCUAUAGCUUCUCUGCCAUAAUCACAUUCAAGGGACCUAAAAAAUGCCUUUGGAAGGUCUGGCCCAGUUACCACGCUUUUAAUAACCUCAGGAUUCUACUCUGACCACCUCAAAGAUUUUAGCUUCAACUCUCAAAGGUCCACAGGAAAGAGCCUAUGAUCCAGGAAGAAUACAAAUUUAUUUGUUCUCUAUUUUUUGUUUCGUUAAUAUAUAAAAAGAAAACUUUAAAAAAAGCCUUACUUGUUACACAAGGACUCUUGUCUGAAACCAAAAUCAUGUAGAAUUUUACUACCAAGCCUUAAAAAAAAAAUACACGGAAAAAUACUUAUAUAGCUAACUGUGAAAAGAAAAAAAUUAGAAGCCAAACCAUUCUUCUGUAAUAUUAUAACACAAUUUUGUUUUCUUCUUUAUGCAUUAUUCUUAGUUGUUAGGUUUUCAAAAAUGACCACGUAUUUUAAUUCAAAAAACAACUUUUAUUUUUUAAAAUGUGACAUGCUGCUAGAGCACAAUGAGGUGACCUACUGAGUGUUUUCUAUAAGCAUCUGCUGGAAUCACAGGUGAGCAUUUGAUAACAUUCAUUGAUGUUGUAAAGGAUAAUCCCUUUUUCAUAAUCAGAGAUUUCUGCAUAUUG